CCAAGAAGUCCAACACGUGCGCAAGUCAUUGGGUGUAACGAAACCUAAAGGCGCAAUGAAGGUGAGAAGGCGAGAUCCCAACCUAUAUAAAGGCGGGGCGCAUCGCCGGCCCGUCUGCGGAGGCGGAGCAAGAGCGCACUUGUUGGGACCCGAAAGAUGGUGAACUAUGCCUGAGCAGGACGAAGCCAGAGGAAACUCUGGUGGAAGUCCGCAGCGAUUCUGACGUGCAAAUCGAUCGUCAAACUUGGGUAUAGGGGCGAAAGACUAAUCGAACCAUCUAGUAGCUGGUUCCCUCCGAAGUUUCCCUCAGGAUAGCUGGCGCUCUGUAUUAAGCAGUUUUAUCCGGUAAAGCGAAUGAUUAGAGGCCUUGGGGACGAAACGUGCUCAACCUAUUCUCAAACUUUAAAUGGGUAAGCAGCCGGACUCGCUCGAUUGGAGUCCGGUGCGAAAUGCGAGUGCCUAGUGGGCCACUUUUG
Molecule: ribosomal RNA, 476 nt
Filed under: Puncturella sp. MNHN IM 2013-19868
Lineage: Eukaryota; Metazoa; Mollusca; Gastropoda; Lepetellida; Fissurellidae
Description: partial large subunit ribosomal RNA
Rfam family: Eukaryotic large subunit ribosomal RNA
Source: RNAcentral